CCUACGGGGGGCUGCAGUGGGGAAUAUUGGACAAUGGGGGGAACCCUGAUCCAGCCAUGCCGCGUGUGUGAAGAAGGCCCUCGGGAUGUAAAGCACUUUCAGUGAGGAAGAACGCCUGGUGGUUAAUACCCAUCAGGAAAGACAUCACUCACAGAAGAAGCACCGGCUAACUCCGUGCCAGCAGCCGCGGUAAUACGGAGGGUGCGAGCGUUAAUCGGAAUUACUGGGCGUAAAGCGCGCGUAGGUGGCUUGAUAAGCCGGUUGUGAAAGCCCCGGGCUCAACCUGGGAACGGCAUCCGGAACUGUCAAGCUAGAGUGCAGGAGAGGAAGGUAGAAUUCCCGGUGUAGCGGUGAAAUGCGUAGAGAUCGGGAGGAAUACCAGUGGCGAAGGCGGCCUUCUGGACUGACACUGACACUGAGGUGCGAAAGCGUGGGUAGCAAACAGGAUUAGAUACCCGAGUAGUC
This 465-nucleotide ribosomal RNA is filed under the name Vreelandella stevensii. Its description in RNAcentral is "partial 16S ribosomal RNA". It matches the Rfam family "Bacterial small subunit ribosomal RNA", at positions 338 to 795 of the family's 1533-position model. The record is from RNAcentral. Lineage: Bacteria; Pseudomonadati; Pseudomonadota; Gammaproteobacteria; Oceanospirillales; Halomonadaceae.